CGACACAAUAAGGGUGGCGACAUAAACAGAAGCCAGUGGUCGGCCAUAGACGAAGUUCCCGUGGCUAUGGACUAUACCGUGGCUCAGCUAGCCACCCUAGCCCAGCAUAAUCACGCCGGGACCCUUCCGCGCACCUGCAUUUGGGAAAUACCUGACGUCACGCCAUUGAUGGAGGAAGGCUGUCAUAGCACAGUGUGAAAUUACGAUAGAGCGGCGCUCAUGGGUCAAAGCAUGGGACUGAUGAAAGUAUGUGCCGCCGCCCGCGUUGGCCGUUCUUAACGGUCUGACCGCCGCCUUGGUCAGGUGCUCCGCAGCUGCUGGGGACUGAGGGCUAUGGGUUAAUUGUAGGAAUCAUAAGGGAGGGAGUGGCCGAAUACUGCACCAGGGAUGCCAAUUCCUGUGCUGGACAAGCAGCACAGUAUGAGCUUUGCAAAAUUUAGAUGUGGCAGCGAGCUAGGGGGGAUGGGGAGUGUUGCAAAGCAGUCUCAUUCUACAAGGUUGCAAAAAGUUUCUUUCAUGACUGACAGCAAUGGGAACAAGCAAGUAUAGUCUUUCGACUUUCACUUGAGCAGGAAACGAAGUUUUUUACCUGACCAAGUGCACAAAAGUAGAGAUGUCCCUGAAAAAUUGGAGCCCAUUCCUUGGUGUAGUGCCAGGACAUAAUUUGAUGUAAUUUAUGUGAGCGUGGACAUUGUGAGAACUCUUGAGGGCUUUGUAUUUUGUGCCGAAAAGAAUGAAGAAAAAAGAAGCAGAAGAAGACGAGCCAGGGACAGCUUGCGUGCUUGGCAGCAUCACGAAAAUUGAACAAGAGAAAAGGAAGAAGAAGAGAGGCGGGUGCUGAAGGAGAAGGCAAGGGGCUCGUGACUUGGAAGAUGCAGGAGCAGUGCGCUGUUCUGGGAGCACCUGCUGCAGUACCUGAGGCAGCCCUGAAGACGUGCCUGCCUGCUGGUGCAGACGUGCAGUGGUGCCUGGUGUGACGUCGUUUGGAGCAGGCCUGGCUGUUGCCUGUUUGUAGCCGCCUGUCGGAGCAGCACAAGGCCGUGUCCGGGACAAGGCCUAAUUGAUGCCUAACCGAGGCCUUAGCUUUGAGGCCGCCUCUUGCUCGAGGUGGCACGUGGAGUUGUGGCGGUGGAAGCCACCUGCCUGACACCCGUUCGAGUGUACUAGCUGGCCACGGUAAUGCAGUUGGGGGCCAUCGCCUUCCUUAUCUGAUGACCAGUGCCUUCAUGGUGUCUUGGCUCACCUCUCAUGAGAGGUUGUGUCUUGGCUCGCCUCCCACGAGAGUAAUUGUGCCUUGGCUGGCCUCCAACUAGAAUCAUCGCGACAGUCCUACCAUCAUCGUUACCAUUGGAACUGAACUUGUGAGACGUUUUCACUCCUUUCUUGAACGCUGCGCGUAGGACUUAACGUAGAUAUGUGUUUGUUUUAGUGACUUUCGUUCUGUACUCUGUGUUUACUGCUUGUUUUCUUUUACUUCUACCAUCUUCAAUAAAUGUUAGUGUACAUCUG
Molecule: long non-coding RNA, 1509 nt
Filed under: Dermacentor andersoni
Lineage: Eukaryota; Metazoa; Arthropoda; Arachnida; Ixodida; Ixodidae
Description: uncharacterized LOC126544877
Source: RNAcentral